RNAcentral lists this ribosomal RNA (137 nucleotides) under Marinobacter gudaonensis. RNAcentral's name for it is "partial 16S rRNA. Bacterial SSU". It matches the Rfam family "Bacterial small subunit ribosomal RNA", at positions 1 to 131 of the family's 1533-position model. The record is from RNAcentral. Lineage: Bacteria; Pseudomonadati; Pseudomonadota; Gammaproteobacteria; Pseudomonadales; Marinobacteraceae.
UUAAACUGAAGAGUUUGAUCAUGGCUCAGAUUGAACGCUGGCGGCAGGCUUAACACAUGCAAGUCGAGCGGUAACAGGGGGAGCUUGCUCCCUGCUGACGAGCGGCGGACGGGUGAGUAAUGCAUAGGAAUCUGCCC